AGGGGGAAGGGGAAGGAAUCGGCUGAGGAUCUACUAGCCCGCCUUACCCUGCAGGAGGAGGAAGAGGAUGACUUUGUGUGGGAGGAGGAGCUACCAGACCUGAUGGAGCCGGCGAAGUGGUUGGCGAUUGCAAGGGUUCAUACACCAAAAACUUUUAGCCCUAACGCAUUGUAUGGGGACAUGAGGGCGGCCUGGAACCCAGCUAAGCUGGUAGCAUGGAGGAAGAUCAGGGAGAACUUGUUUGCGCAGUUUGGAUGCCUCGCAGAUUGGAAG
RNAcentral lists this ribosomal RNA (273 nucleotides) under Triticum aestivum (bread wheat). RNAcentral's name for it is "partial small subunit ribosomal RNA". The record is from RNAcentral. Lineage: Eukaryota; Viridiplantae; Streptophyta; Magnoliopsida; Poales; Poaceae.